RNAcentral lists this microRNA (21 nucleotides) under Picea abies (Norway spruce). RNAcentral describes it as "pab-miR164a". Its record names the gene pab-miR164a. Lineage: Eukaryota; Viridiplantae; Streptophyta; Pinopsida; Pinales; Pinaceae. RNAcentral also lists the same sequence under 2 other names. The record is from miRBase by way of RNAcentral.
CACGUGCUCCCCUUCUCCAAC